AGUGAACGCUGGCGGUAGGCCUAACACAUGCAAGUCGAACGGCAGCACAGUAAGAGCUUGCUCUUACGGGUGGCGAGUGGCGGACGGGUGAGGAAUACAUCGGAAUCUACUUUUUCGUGGGGGAUAACGUAGGGAAACUUACGCUAAUACCGCAUACGACCUACGGGUGAAAGCAGGGGUUCUUCGGACCUUGCGCGACUGAAUUAGCCGAUGUCGGAUUAGCUAGUUGGCGGGGUAAAGGCCCACCAAGGCGACGAUCCGUAGCUGGUCUGAGAGGAUGAUCAGCCACACUGGAACUGAGACACGGUCCAGACUCCUACGGGAGGCAGCAGUGGGGAAUAUUGGGCAAUGGGCGCAAGCCUGAUCCAGCCAUACCGCGUGGGUGAAGAAGGCCUUCGGGUUGUAAAGCCCUUUUGUUGGGAAAGAAAAGCAGCAGGUUAAUACCCCGCUGUUCUGACGGUACCCAAAGAAUAAGCACCGGCUAACUUCGUG
Molecule: ribosomal RNA, 492 nt
Filed under: uncultured bacterium
Lineage: Bacteria
Description: partial 16S ribosomal RNA
Rfam family: Bacterial small subunit ribosomal RNA
Source: RNAcentral